AGUGAACGCUGGCGGUAGGCCUAACACAUGCAAGUCGAACGGCAGCACAGGAGAGCUUGCUCUCUGGGUGGCGAGUGGCGGACGGGUGAGGAAUACAUCGGAAUCUGCUCUGUCGUGGGGGAUAACGUAGGGAAACUUACGCUAAUACCGCAUACGACCUACGGGUGAAAGCAGGGGACCUUCGGGCCUUGCGCGAUUGAAUGAGCCGAUGUCGGAUUAGCUAGUUGGCGGGGUAAAGGCCCACCAAGGCGACGAUCCGUAGCUGGUCUGAGAGGAUGAUCAGCCACACUGGAACCGAGACACGGUCCAGACUCCUACGGGAGGCAGCAGUGGGGAAUAUUGGACAAUGGGCGCAAGCCUGAUCCAGCCAUACCGCGUGGGUGAAGAAGGCCUUCGGGUUGUAAAGCCCUUUUGUUGGGAAAGAAAUCCAGCUGGCUGAUACCCGGUUGGGAUGACGGUACCCAAAGAAUAAGCACCGGCUAACUUCGUGCCAGCAGCCGCCGUAA
RNAcentral lists this ribosomal RNA (506 nucleotides) under uncultured bacterium. RNAcentral's name for it is "partial 16S ribosomal RNA". It matches the Rfam family "Bacterial small subunit ribosomal RNA", at positions 29 to 523 of the family's 1533-position model. The record is from RNAcentral.